AUCGUGUUUUUAUCUUGUACACAGCUUUGAUGGUUUUGUGCUAUGAAGCGGUCUGUACAUUUGUUAACAACAAUUAAUAAUGUAACAACAACAACAACAUCUGGAACUGGCCUCCUGAUGUUCCCAGUUUUGUUAAGUUGUGGGUGAACAUAUCAGACGACACAGCGAUUCCUCAGACAGCUCUUGUUUAUUCACAGGCCAGAACAAAACUGAACUGAAGGGCUCAGCCAACCUGCUUAUACUGUACAGAGCUCAGCUACAAGCAACAGUAACAACUUUCUGUAACUAUCCAAUCACUGAACGUCACUUUCAAUUCCUUAUUUGCAAAUGUGGACCUGAGUGAAAACUAUCUACAGUAUCCCCCUGCUGGCCCAGGGUGAGAACUUCAAUACAUAACAAGUUUCCUUCCUUCCUCCCCCCCCCCCAAUUCCUUAUCAAACCCAUGCCUCCCUCUAACCAUUUCUGUUUUAUCUGCAUGCUGAGAAAAGGGGCUUACCUCUAGCCUGAUUUACUGCUGGUGAGGCCUCAUGCAAAGACUUGCACAGACAGAGCAGCAUCACAGCUACCACCUCACACUGAUGUUUCUGAUGUGAGAUUCAAAUAAUUUUAUGGGAAGUGACUCAUAAAUGCAAAUAAAUAAUGCCCGGUCCUUAUCGGGAAGAAUUUCCCUUGCUUCUCACCCCCAAGUUUUUUUCUGAAAACCUUGGGAUUCUCCCAAAUCUGUUGACAUCUUCCUCUUUUGAUGGGUGGUACUGGUUUGGCUAUGUAAGUAUUAGCAUUUGGAGAAUGAAUUUAUAAGUACAUAUGACUCAGAAUAUAGUUUUGUACACAACUUUCCCUUCCUUUGAUCUGAGUUAUAACAGAUCUUCAGAUAGCUCUAGCUCAAAGCUCUGUUAAACUGCCUUGGUAGUUCCUUAUGAAUCUUCAGUAUAGAGAUGGACUGUUGGGGUGAGUCAUAUUUCCAAGGUCUUCAAGACAGAUUCUUCAGCUAGCUCUGAAACAUAAGACAGAAUGGACUUUAAAACUUGGGCUCCUGCUCGGCAUAGCAUAGCCUUCCUAGGCAACAAAGCCAAAGGCCCAAAGACCUUGGGUCAAACAACUUAUUUCUGUGUCUUCUCAUUGGCCUGAACAGGAUUGCUCCUAUGUAAGCCAAAAUGUUUUGUUCUCAGGAUUUCUGACUUGAGUCUAGGAAUGUUCUCACACUGGGGCAUGUAGGCAGUAUAGUCUGUGUACACACCAUAUAUUUAAAACACAUUUUCACCCUCUAAAAAAAGAAUCCCAAUAACUGCCGUUUAUUAAGGGUGAUGGGAAUUGUAGCUCUUGUGAGGGGUAAACUGCAGUUCCCAGGAGAUUGAGUGCUUAAAAAUGCUAUGUCAGUGUGCUUCAAAAUAUCCUUUAUUUCACAUUUAUUAUUAUCAAGUGUUCAGAUCCACAGUUUGAGAAAGUAGAUUGCAGAGAACAAAGUUUAUCUGUGCCUUGUUAGAACAGUUUCUAUGGCAUUGUUUCCCCCCACCCUUUUAAAAAAUGUACCUUUUCAGCACUGAGCAUCAAAACCUGUAGUACAUAGUCAAAGGCAGUUCACAAAGAGAAUAAUGUGACAUGCCCACA
Podarcis raffonei (Aeolian wall lizard) is the source of this 1608-nucleotide long non-coding RNA. RefSeq lists it as uncharacterized. Lineage: Eukaryota; Metazoa; Chordata; Lepidosauria; Squamata; Lacertidae. The transcript is spliced from 2 exons. The record is from RefSeq and is a predicted model, not a curated record.